AGUCGAGCGAGCUGAACCAACAGAUUCACUUCGGUGAUGACGUUGGGNAACGCUAGCGGCGGAUGGGUGAGUAACACGUGGGGAACCUGCCCCAUAGUCUGGGAUACCACUUGGAAACAGGUGCUAAUACCGGAUAAGAAAGCAGAUCGCAUGAUCAGCUUAUAAAAGGCGGCGUAAGCUGUCGCUAUGGAAUGGCCCCGCGGUGCAUUAGCUAGUUGGUAGGGUAACGGCCUACCAAGGCAAUGAUGCAUAGCCGAGUUGAGAGACUGAUCGGCCACAUUGGGACUGAGACACGGCCCAAACUCCUACGGGAGGCAGCNGUAGGGAAUCUUCCACAAUGGACGAAAGUCUGAUGGAGCAACGCCGCGUGAGUGAAGAAGGUUUUCGGAUCGUAAAGCUCUGUUGUUGGUGAAGAAGGAUAGAGGUAGUAACUGGCCUUUAUUUGACGGUAAUCAACCAGAAAGUCACGGCUAACUACGUGCCAGCAGCCGCGGUAAUACGUAGGUGGCAAGCGUUGUCCGGAUUUAUUGGGCGUAAAGCGAGCGCAGGCGGAAGAAUAAGUCUGAUGUGAAAGCCCUCGGCUUAACCGAGGAACUGCAUCGGAAACUGUUUUUCUUGAGUGCAGAAGAGGAGAGUGGAACUCCAUGUGUAGCGGUGGAAUGCGUAGAUAUAUGGAAGAACACCAGUGGCGAAGGCGGCUCUCUGGUCUGCAACUGACGC
Molecule: ribosomal RNA, 720 nt
Filed under: Lactobacillus acidophilus
Lineage: Bacteria; Bacillati; Bacillota; Bacilli; Lactobacillales; Lactobacillaceae
Description: bacterial SSU rRNA
Rfam family: Bacterial small subunit ribosomal RNA
Source: RNAcentral